Molecule: ribosomal RNA, 253 nt
Filed under: uncultured bacterium
Lineage: Bacteria
Description: partial 16S ribosomal RNA
Rfam family: Bacterial small subunit ribosomal RNA
Source: RNAcentral
UACGUAGGGGGCAAGCGUUGUCCGGAAUUAUUGGGCGUAAAGAGCGUGUAGGCGGUCCGGUAAGUCGGCUGUGAAAGUCCAGGGCUCAACCCUGGGAUGCCGGUCGAUACUGCCGGACUAGAGUUCGGAAGAGGCGAGUGGAAUUCCCGGUGUAGCGGUGAAAUGCGCAGAUAUCAGGAGGAACACCGAUGGCGAAGGCAGGUCUCUGGGCCACUACUGACGCUGAGAAGCGAAAGCGUGGGGAGCGAACAGG